UGGGGAAUAUUGGGCAAUGGGGGCAACCCUGACCCAGCGACGCCGCGUGGGGGAAGACGGCCUUCGGGUUGUAAACCUCUUUUGUACGGGAAGAAGGAAGUGACGGUACUGUACGAAUAAGUCCCGGCUCACUACGUGCCAGCAGCCGCGGUCAUACGUAGGGGACGAGCGUUGCCCGGACUUACUGGGCGCAAGGGCGCGCCGGCUGUGCCGCAAGUCAGCUGUUAAAUGUCUGGGCUUAACCCGGGCAUGCGGUUGAGACUGCGGUGCUGGAGUGCUGUAGAGGCAAGUGGAAUUCCCAGUGUAGCGGUGAAAUGCGUAGAUAUUGGGAAGAACACCGGUGGCGAAGGCGACUUGCUGGGCAGCAACUGACGCUGAGGCGCGAAAGCCAGGGGAGCAAACGG
This 404-nucleotide ribosomal RNA is filed under the name uncultured bacterium. Its description in RNAcentral is "bacterial SSU rRNA". It matches the Rfam family "Bacterial small subunit ribosomal RNA", at positions 355 to 775 of the family's 1533-position model. The record is from RNAcentral.